Molecule: ribosomal RNA, 387 nt
Filed under: uncultured bacterium
Lineage: Bacteria
Description: bacterial SSU rRNA
Rfam family: Bacterial small subunit ribosomal RNA
Source: RNAcentral
AUUGAACGCUGGCGGCGUGCUUAACACAUGCAAGUCGAUCGGUAACAGGUGUAGCAAUACAUGCUGACGAGAGGCGGACGGGUGAGUAAUGCUUGGGAAUCUGCCUAUUAGUGGGGGACAACCCGGGGAAACUCGGGCUAAUACCGCAUACGCUCUACGGAGGAAAGCCGGGGACCGCAAGGCCUGGCGCUAAUAGAUGAGCCCAAGUCGGAUUAGCUAGUUGGCGGGGAACGGCUCACCAAGGCUACGAUCCGUAGCUGGUUUGAGAGAAUGACCAGCCACACUGGGACUGAGACACGGCCCAGGACUCCUACGGGAGGCAGCAGUGGGGAAUCUUGGACAAUGGCGAAAGCCUGAUCCAGCCAUGCCGCGUGAGUGGCGAAGGCC